ACGUCACUGACUCGAUGGACAUGAGUGUGAGUAAACUCUGGGAGUUGGUGGUGGACAGGGAGGCCCAGUGUGCUGCAGUCCAUGGGGUCUCAAAGAGCUGAACACGACUGAGUGACUGAACUGAACUGAUCUGAGACUUAUGAUCACAUUUAUUUCUCUUUUUAAAAUGUCUAUAUUAAUUUUUUGAGUAUGGAGAAAAGUAAGCCUGCCUCUCAUAUGUCUCCCAGUUCCUGGUUUUUUCCCUUUUCUCUUUUUCUGGCAGCAAAAAUGGCCCGAGAUACUGCUCCAACUUUUCAAAGCAGCUUACUACACCCUUCUUAUAGUGUUGCAGCAAGAAAUGAGUGGAAUGUGUCAUAUAGUCCAAUAAAUGAUCUCUCUUUCCAGGAGGGAAAUGAUCACCCUCUCCUCUCUGAAAAUCAUCUCGUUUUAUUAGCAGCCUCAUCACACUGCUCAUGAUGACUUUUCUGUCAAUGAAAGCUUCAAUUCUGUUAUUAUAUACCAAGAACUUCUAUUGUAUACCAAGCACUCUAUAUAAAAGGAACCAGAGAAUAUAAAAGACUAAAAGCAAAAACAGCCGCCUGCCUUCAUAUAGUGUAGCAUCGAAUGGGGGAGACAGGCACUAAGCCAGUAAUCACACUCAUGAAAGUACCAUUCAUUACUCACCUAAUGGUGGCCCAGGACCACCUAUACUCCCAUCGCACAGUCUUCCCUUGUGCUUUGUCUUUCAGUGGCAGGAAAAAAGAGGGCGCUCCACAGCUUCCUCCCAAGAGAGGCUAAUAGUCUUUCUAUCACUAUUUGCACUUUAUCCCUGUUUACUGUAGUCAGCACAAAAGGUCCUGGUUUCAGGAGAUCCACAAACACAAACCGUAACCCCAAAAGGUUCCAGCCCCCACCCCAUCUCCUACUCCUCAAACUCUUCUGCUGUCCCCUCAUGAAUACACAGUCCAGUAUUAUUAACACCCCAAAUAAAUAAAUUCAGUCCAGCUCAGUCACUCAGUCCUGUCCGACUUUUUGUGACCCCAUGGACUGCAGCACCACAGGCCUGCCUGUCCAUCACCAACUCCCAGAGCCUACACAAACCCAUGUCCAUGGAGACAGUCAUACUGUCCAACCAUCUCAUCCUCUGUUGUCCUCUUCUUCUCCUGCCUUCAAUAUU
This 1156-nucleotide long non-coding RNA is filed under the name Capra hircus (goat). Its description in RNAcentral is "lncRNA (ENSCHIG00010020681.1)". Lineage: Eukaryota; Metazoa; Chordata; Mammalia; Artiodactyla; Bovidae. The record is from RNAcentral.